Molecule: ribosomal RNA, 326 nt
Filed under: uncultured eukaryote
Lineage: Eukaryota
Description: partial 18S ribosomal RNA
Rfam family: Eukaryotic small subunit ribosomal RNA
Source: RNAcentral
CCCUUAGAUGUCCUGGGCCGCACGCGCGUUACACUGAUGCAUUCAACGAGCUUAUAACCUUGGCCGAGAGGCCUGGGCAAUCUUGUUAACGUGCAUCGUGAUAGGGAUAGAUUAUUGAAAUUAUUAAUCUUGAACGAGGAAUUCCUAGUAAACGCAGAUCAUCAAUCUGCAUUGAUUACGUCCCUGCCCUUUGUACACACCGCCCGUCGCACCUACCGAUUGAGUGGUCCGGUGAAGUCUCGAGAUUGUGGCAAUCUCCUUUAUUGGAGUUUGACUGCGAGAACUUGCCUAAACCUUAUCACUUAGAGGAAGGUGAAGUCGUAACA